Molecule: ribosomal RNA, 257 nt
Filed under: uncultured bacterium
Lineage: Bacteria
Description: partial 16S ribosomal RNA
Rfam family: Bacterial small subunit ribosomal RNA
Source: RNAcentral
GUAUCCUGGCUCAGGAUGAACGCUAGCUACAGGCUUAACACAUGCAAGUCGAGGGGCAGCAUUUUAGUUUGCUUGCAACUAAAGAUGGCGACCGGCGCACGGGUGAGUAACACGUAUCCAACCUGCCGAUAACUCGGGGAUAGCCUUUCGAAGAAAGAUUAAUAUCCGAUGGUAUAUUAAAACCGCAUGGUUUUACUAUUAAAGAAUUUCGGUUAUCGAUGGGGAUGCGUUCCAUUAGUUUGUUGCGGGUAACGGCC